CCAAAAGCGGAGGAAAAGAAACCAACAGGGAUUGCCUUAGUAACGGCGAGUGAAGCGGCAAGAGCUCAAAUUUGAAAUCUAGCACUUUCAGUGUUCGAGUUGUAAUUUGAAGAAGGUAUCUUUGGAGUUGGCCCCUGUCUAUGUUCCUUGGAACAGGACGUCACAGAGGGUGAGAAUCCCGUGCGAUGGGGAGACCAAUUCUUUGUAAAGUUCCUUCGAAGAGUCGAGUUGUUUGGGAAUGCAGCUCUAAGUGGGUGGUAAAUUCCAUCUAAAGCUAAAUAUUGGCGAGAGACCGAUAGCGAACAAGUACAGUGAUGGAAAGAUGAAAAGAACUUUGAAAAGAGAGUGAAAAAGUACGUGAAAUUGUUGAAAGGGAAGGGCUUUUGAUCAGACUUGGUGUUUAACGAUCUCUUCUCCUUGUGGGAGGGGCUCUUGUUUUAUACUGGGCCAGCAUCGGUUUGGAUGGCAGGAUAAUGACAUUGGAACGUGGCUUCAUUCGUGAAGUGUUAUAGCCUUUGUUGAUACUGCCUAUCUAGACCGAGGACUGCGUCUUGACUAGGAUGCUGCGUGUGUGCGUG
RNAcentral lists this ribosomal RNA (578 nucleotides) under Nakazawaea molendinolei. RNAcentral describes it as "eukaryotic LSU rRNA". It matches the Rfam family "Eukaryotic large subunit ribosomal RNA", at positions 44 to 640 of the family's 3401-position model. Lineage: Eukaryota; Fungi; Ascomycota; Pichiomycetes; Alaninales; Pachysolenaceae. The record is from RNAcentral.